AAGACCUUGCGCUUUUGGAGCGGCCGAUGUCUGAUUAGCUUGUUGGUGAGGUAAAGGCUUACCAAGGCUUCGAUCAGUAGCUGGUCUGAGAGGACGGCCAGCCACACUGGGACUGAGACACGGCCCAGACUCCUACGGGAGGCAGCAGUGGGGAAUUUUGGACAAUGGGGGCAACCCUGAUCCAGCCAUGCCGCGUGAGUGAAGAAGGCCUUCGGGUUGUAAAGCUCUUUCAGCCGGAACGAAACGGUUACGGUUAAUACCCGUGACUACUGACGGUACCGGAAGAAGAAGCACCGGCUAACUACGUGCCAGCAGCCGCGGUAAUACGUAGGGUGCAAGCGUUAAUCGGAAUUACUGGGCGUAAAGCGUGCGCAGGUGGUUUUGUAAGUCAGAUGUGAAKUCCCCGGGCUUAACCUGGGAACU
Molecule: ribosomal RNA, 423 nt
Filed under: uncultured bacterium
Lineage: Bacteria
Description: bacterial SSU rRNA
Rfam family: Bacterial small subunit ribosomal RNA
Source: RNAcentral